RNAcentral lists this ribosomal RNA (468 nucleotides) under uncultured bacterium. RNAcentral describes it as "partial 16S ribosomal RNA". It matches the Rfam family "Bacterial small subunit ribosomal RNA", at positions 28 to 507 of the family's 1533-position model. The record is from RNAcentral.
GACGAACGCUGGCGGCGUGCUUAACACAUGCAAGUCGAACGGAAAGGCCCUGCUUUUGUGGGGUGCUCGAGUGGCGAACGGGUGAGUAACACGUGAGUAACCUGCCCUUGACUUUGGGAUAACUUCAGGAAACUGGGGCUAAUACCGGAUAGGAGCUCCUGCUGCAUGGUGGGGGUUGGAUAGUUUCGGCGGUUGGGGAUGGACUCGCGGCUUAUCAGCUUGUUGGUGGGGUAGUGGCUUACCAAGGCUUUGACGGGUAGCCGGCCUGAGAGGGUGACCGGCAACAUUGGGACUGAGAUACGGCCAAGACUCCUACGGGAGGAAGCAGUGGGGAAUAUUGCAAAAUGGGCGGAAGCCGGAUGCAGCAACGCCGCGUGCGGGAUGACGGCCUUCGGGUUGUAAACCGCUUUCGCCUGUGACGAAGCGUGAGUGACGGUAAUGGGUAAAGAAGCACCGGCUAACUACGUG